AGAAAACAAAAAUUAUACAUCCAAGUCAACGAUUGGAUUCGCAGACUUAACUAUUGGUACAAGAGAGGCGGAAGUGACGCAGCUGAGGGUCGAGGAUAAGCAAAUGAUGGCGUAGCUGAGGGCCCAGGGCGAUGAGAUGAAGACCUGUGUCGGGAGGGUGCAAGAACUUGUACAAGCCAUACAGAUGUCGAGCCUCCAAAUCUCGCUACCAGCACCUCAUCUUACUCCACCUUCGACCUUAAAGCCACCUUGCCCUGCCGAUACCCAGUAGCCUGAUGUAUUAAACUUAGUCCACUUGUAGUUUUUUCUUUUUGUUUGGACAUCUUGUAUGUACAUUUUCAUAUAUUUUAUAAUUAAAUAUUUUUGCUUGGUUAAUUAAUUAUUCUUUAGAAUUUAA
Non-coding RNA from Malus domestica (apple), 397 nucleotides. Lineage: Eukaryota; Viridiplantae; Streptophyta; Magnoliopsida; Rosales; Rosaceae. The record is from RefSeq and is a predicted model, not a curated record.